RNA transcript from Acinonyx jubatus (cheetah), 964 nucleotides. It is a transcript of the gene named chromosome A1 C13orf46 homolog, with no coding region annotated. The transcript has 9 exons. NCBI's taxonomy places the organism in Eukaryota, Metazoa, Chordata, Mammalia, Carnivora, Felidae. The record is from RefSeq and is a predicted model, not a curated record.
AGGGGCCACUUGGCAACAGGGGCCCGCAGGGCACACUGGGCUGCUCAUUGGAUCAGACGGAGGUCGGAAGCCAUGCUCUGCGUCUGAGGGCGCACUCGGGAACCCACGUCCCUCUUCUUUCUGGAGCCCUGACGGAGGGAGGAUGAUGGAGAAGGACACAGCCGCACACAGGAGGCACAGGCCAGGCCCCGGGGCCCCUCCAUCAGGGGGAGCCCCCAGACACCUCAAGGCGGCCAGCGAGACGGUCGAGCUGCAGCGCAGCAGGAGCGUGGGUGGUCUGCUGCAGAAGGGGGACCCUCUGCGCUGCGUCAAGAAGCUGAGUGGGGAGCUGGAGUCCAAGGACCAGGGAAGAGACCUACAGAGUGACACUGAGGAUGCCAACUGUAAGGCAGACCCAGAGGAAGAGAAGCAGGAAAAGAAUCAGGACUCCCUCAGGAAGCUGGACCCUGAUGGUGGCUGGGCGGGGCCGGCGGAACCGGAGUUGGAGUCCAUAAAGCCGGAUGAGCCUUUGGGAAAAGAGAAACCAUCUGUGUUUGUGGAGAUUGAUCUGGGAGACCAUGUGGAGGAGGUGGUCACAGGCACCAUGAAAGAAGAGAAGCAGUCCGAGAUGGACAUGGGGGGUUCAUCAGAAGACGGAGACCCAGCACUGAUGAGCCCGGAGGGGCUGAGACGUGAGCAGCAGGACUCAGGCAUGACCCUUACCUUGUGGCCCCCUCACCCCACAGCAAGACCCGCUCUCCCCAUCCCAUCAGCCAACAGCUUGGCCAGACCGUGAAGUGGGAGGAGGCAGAGGACCAGGACCAGCUGGGUGUGCUGCAUCCCUUACUCCACCAGAAGGAAGGCCAAGGACAGUGUGUAACAGCUCUGGACGAGGGCCCCGAUGACCACCCAGGUGUGAGCCACUGACCCGCUGGGUGAGCAAUGACACCAUCUUUUUAAAAGACACAAUAAAGCAUGAACAGAA